Molecule: long non-coding RNA, 5766 nt
Organism: Ahaetulla prasina
Lineage: Eukaryota; Metazoa; Chordata; Lepidosauria; Squamata; Colubridae
Exons: 6
Source: RefSeq, a predicted model, not a curated record
CCUUGCUGGGUUUGAUUCUCGUAGUGAGUUCAGCUCUGUUCUGGUGCUCUGCCUCAAGAUCCCACCUUCGUCGCCAAUGUUAAGUUUGGGUAUUGACGAGGCAGGAGACCAGGUUAGUGACAACAGCUCUUUAAUAUAGUGUGACCCAGCAAAACUCUGGAGAAAAACCUCUCCUUAUAUACACUUCAGCCUGAGGCUGCAUCCAAUCAGAGACGAGAUAUUUCCCGCCUAAAACUCCCGCCAAAACUUACAGUAAUACAUUACACUCACUACAUUGCAGAACCUCCUGGAGCAUCUCAAUCACCAAACCCCAGAAACCUAUAAAAAUCCAUCCAGUCACUCAGCCAUUUUAUCAGCCAUUCCAAAAACAUGCUGCUUUCAUUGAAGUUUCUGAAAACCAAAUAAACAGAGACCUUGUAGCCGGCUUCCAUUUUAUUUCCAGCGUUUUUCUCCUAGCUUGGAAUUGGACUUGAUUUUUCUUCCAACAGAAGGAAAAGGAGCAAAGCACUUUGAAAUCAUAAUUAUGAACUUAAAGGUUUAAUGAGAGGUGGACACAACAGACUGACCACGAAAAAGAGCUACUGAAAAGAUUUAGUUAAACCUUGUUUUCAAAUCAGUAUGUAACACAGACAUGCCAUUGUUUACAUGACAGGGUAUCACUGGCUCUGAAUCGACAACUAGUUGAUCUUAAGCUAUAUCUAGCUGGAACCAUAAGAUGAAAUAGCAAUAGCACUUAGACUUAUAUACCACUUCACAGUGCUUUACAGCCCUCUCUAAGUGAUUUACAGAGUCAGCAUAUUGCCCCCAACAAUCUGGGUCCUCAUUUUACUAACCUCUGAAGGAUGGAAUGCUGAGUCAUAGGCUUUUCUUAACACAGAAAGCUUCUAGCAUGUCUUGAGGCAUCUGUUAACAGCGAACCAAUGAGGCUUGCAGUGCAUUUUCAUAUUCAGUAUCCUCGUACCGAUUAUUCAUCUUCAUUCCAGGGGUGAAAUGCUACCGGUUCGGACUGGUUUGGCUGAACUGGUAGCGAUGGUGGUGGCGGUGGGUGGUUUGAUCCAGGAAGUAAUCUGUUUUUUACCCUCUGUGCAUGCGCAGAAGGGUUUGCGCAUGCACAGAUGGUCCGUGCAUGCAUGUGACACACAUGCGCGUGUGCACUUCCGAACCGGGUAAGGAAAGUAAAUAGAUUUCACCCCUAGUUCAUUCUCCCUUAUGACUUCUUUCUCCAGUCAACCAAGCAUUCUGCCAUUACUGAGCCUGGUGGGUUCUUUGUAGGGGCCCAUUCUUACUUAGACCUUUCUGUAAAACCAUAGCUAGUUUUUUUUUUAAUGUUUAGGAUUCCACUAAACUUGCCAAUGCAUCUCUUUAGUGCAUUAGUUAUGCACGACAAAAAUAAAUCAGCAGUUGGUUACCUAAUGACUUCUGUUUAAAGGGAUGGCACAACAGAAGAGUAAUUUCGAUCAGCUUACUUUAGCAGCCAAAUAUGUGGCCAAUGAUGGUAGGAGAAUAAAGAAAUGAUAUGGACCAGAUGUUAUUCCAACUUAAUUUGUAUGGCCAUAGAGGAAGCUAGGAGCAUAUACAUUUGGAUCAGGUGAUGCUAAUUUGCAGAAAUACCACCAUCUAAUUAAAAUUCAGCUUACGCUCUUUGCAAUGUCACACAUUUCUUGUGCUAACCAAUGGCAUUCUCCAUUGCCCAUCUUAUUGCUUACACCCAUAACCUGAAAGGCAUAGAAGGUGAAGGUAUUAAAUGUGAGAGAAGAAGUGUGGCAGUAUCUGCAUUCUGAGACUGUUUCCCGGAGCUAAAAUAUUUGCUGAAAUCUGGCCAUAGAACUUAGAAUGUCUGCCUGUUUCUCUUUACCAAUACUGACAGUUGAGAUGGCUCCUCCGCCAGGCCUUUCAUGCGUGCAAUUGUAAUAACCAGUUCCAAGAUUUUUGAUCUUUGUCCUUUUCUUCUGUGCAGACUAGCAUUUGGACAUUUUUUGUCUUCCUUGGCAAGUGCUUUGGUAUAGGUUUGUCUGCACCCCUUGUCUUCCAGUAAACAUCUCAUCUGCUUGGUCAUAUUUUAAAUCUUUUGGGGAACUUGGGAUGGGAAGGAGAAAAGAAGUCCUAUUGUCAUGAAAUAAUCUCAUCCAGUAGAUUGUUUAGUUGUACAUCCUGCUUGUUCUCUGCUCUUGCCGCCUCUCACCAGUUACAUAACAAAUUCUGUCCUUCACUUCUUGUAAAGAGCUUUGUAUGUCCACAGAGACACAGAUGGAGGACCAGAAUAUUCAACCAAAUAGUAAACAACAGCUGCAGGGGCUUUAGGGGUUCUCUUGUUGUCCAGGACAAGCAGGAAUGCUUUAGGACACAGGCUACAUCUCUUUCUCUCUACCUCGAUCAUCUCUAUCUCUCUGUCAUCUCUGUUGCCUGAUGUACUGAUAUAAAUAUAUAACUUUGCAUAUUGUCUGAUGUGCAGAAGAUUUGGGGAGGUUGGAGGUAGUUUGUGUCUUUUCAUUUUACGGUGAAACUUAGGCAACAUUAAAAGAAGCUACUCAUAUAUGUUGCAAUGAAAGAAAAAGAAUUGGUGCGUACAUCUGCUUAUCUGGUCCUGCCCACUGGCCUUUCUGAAUCUAUUUUUAAUCUAAGCGUGAUCAAGUAAACAGGCCUGACCUGUUUACUUGAUUACAGGAGGAGGACACUGCUUGGAACCCUUGGGUGGCACCUGACUUAGGAAAAGAACAAGGCAAGAAGCCAAGAAACACGGUGGGGCUGAGCCAGAUGAGAUGGGCUUCUUUAGAUUUUUUUAGACAUCUUAUUGAAGCUCCUGGGCAAGGCAGGGCCCCCAAAGGAUUUGGCGUAUCAAUAUGCUGACAGUAUCUGGCUGCACUUCUCCUUUUUUUCAUCUGAUUUGGAUGAGUUGGUUGAUAUGGUAAAUCCGCACCGCGCUUCGGUAAUGACCGAAUAUAAUCCAAUAAAUUGAAGUUCUAUGCAGAUGAGCCAUAGAUACGGUGGUUGAUUGGUGCAGAUAUGGGUUUCCUAUUUGCUUUGGGCUGCAUGUGCUGUAAAGGAAUACUGUAGAUCUGUGAACCUAGCUUUUGCUAGGUGCCUUAUAGGUGCUAUGGCUAAGAUUUUGGGAUAUUGUCUGUCUGUCAGUCACUCAGUCUCUUUCUCUGUCUCUCUCUCUCUCAUGUCCUUUAUCAUCUUUGGUCUAUCAUCCCAGCUAGUGAAGGCUUGCCAGAGGGAGUUCAUUUCUGGAACCUUCAGUUUAGAUUGCAAUAGGGAAUUAUAUGGGGAGCUGUUUUUGAAGACUAUUUGGAAACUAUGAUCAGGUCAUGAUGCAGCAGUCUGGUUGCUAACUAGGACUGGAUAUAAUGAGCAACAGAAAUUAGAUAUCUUUAUUCAAGCUAUCCAGGUCAGACUAAGACAUCAUUUAGUUAUGAAUGAAUUUUAAACUCCAUGGCUUCAUUUUUUUUAAAAAAGUAUUAAUGUAUGUUCAGGAUAGUUUAUGGCCAUAUGCUUUACAUAGGACGCAUAAAGCCCUGAAUGCAUGCUUAGUGUAAGCCUGCACAAAAUGUUUUAAACAAUGGACACUUUUAUAAAUAAAUCUUUCUAAUGCUGAAGCAAUCGCCUGCCUUCAUCCUGAUCCUUUUCAGUUACACAAAAUACUGCAUUUAACUUUUGUGGGAAGCCCUCCCCCCCAAGAAUAAAAUAUUUUGAGGAAUAUUUAAAAAGCCAGAAUAAUUAUAUUUCCCAAAGGGAAAAAUGGAGAAACAUGCUUUUUAGAGGCAGAAUCAACCCUCGCCUUUUCUUAAUAGCCCCAGCAGGUAUUUUGUACCCAUUAAGAAAGAUUGGACAAACCUAUUCAGAAACCAAACUGAGAAGGCCACCUUUUAGAAAUGCAGAUUUGGUAAUCCGUUCAAGACAGGAUAUUUUGAAACAAAGGCAGAAUGGUAGGAUUAACCCUCACUCAAGAUCCAACACAGGGCAAAACCAUUAAGCAACAAUAAAAUUGCCCAACACCCUCAGACCAGUCCAAACGUCAACCAAACUUAGCUCAGACAAACACCUAGGAUUUGUACCAGGGGUGAAAUCUAAAAAUUUUCCCUACUGGUUCUGUGGGCGUGGCUUAAUUGGUGGGUGUGGCUUGGUGGUCAGAUGACUGGGUGGGCAUGGCCAAUAACAAUAAAUAAUAAAAAUAAUAAACAAAGUAUAAAAACCAAUAAGAGGUAUCAAAACCCAACUUUCACACUUUACACACACACAACACAACACAACACAACUGACUCACACACAAUGUAAAAGCAGCUGCACUUCACACUUCACACAGCCACAAAAAGCUUAAAAAACAACUUUCACACACACACACACACACACACAAAAUGCCACAUACAGCUUUCUGAGAUUUUGUGUGUUUGUGUAGUUAGAGUGAAACACUACAGAAACACCCCAAAUCUCAGAAAGCUGCACAAAUAUUUUAUUUUAUUAUUUUAUUUUAUUUUAUUUUAUUGUGGACUUCAAAUCCCAGAGUUCCUUAGCCAGCAAAGCAGGAAGUCAAAGCAAGCUUUUUUUUUUCUUCAGAAAGCAUGCAGUUGCAGCCGGAAAGGAGCAGUAAUUAUAGCCUCCGUGUUUCCAGCAUCUUUCUCCCAGCUUGGAACUGAACCAGAUGGAUAUUCCUUCCAACACUUUCAAUUACUUAAAACUUUAAGCCUUUCAACAACAGGUUCCAAUUGGAUUUCCUCCAGAUGCAUUAAACUACAGUUCCUAUCAUCCCCAUUCAACUUUUGUUAUAUGGGGAGUGUAGUCAGUGGUGGGAUUCUACCGGUUCUACCCGGUUCGGGUGAAGUGGUAGCAGCGGCAACGGGAGGCUCCACCCACCCACUCAGACAUCAUCAUGGACACUCUGUGCAUGCAUAGAAGGCUCUGCGCAUGCUCACAUUUGCAAACCGGUAGCAAAGACCUAUAAAAUGCAGGUAAUUCGUUGACGUAUGACCACAAUUGAGCCCAAAAUUUCUGUUGCUGAGCGAGAUUGUUAAGUGAAUUUUGCCCAUUUUAAGACCUUCAUGCCAUAGUUGAUGAAAUGUUGCUGCUUCGUUCUUCACCCAAGCCACUGUCGGGCAGAUGCAAUAUAGACCUCUUCUGACAAGAGUGCAGGUUGACAGACAUUGCUGAAGAACCAGAAGGAUGUCUCCGAUGCUUUAAAAGAUAUACCAACAGCCAACAACUACAACCACAGAAAAAGAUGUGCAAGGUCUAUUUCACAGACAAAAGUCUGGAAAAGCACCAGGCCCAGAAAAGGAUGACAAUUUCUUACCUCCAGUUUUUCGUCAGAAAAUCUUCUUUAAUAGAAUUAUAUGCGAAGAAUAUUUGCAGAUAAGAAGGCAUGAGAGAGAUUGCUUUUUUCUGGGCCUUAUUACAUCCUAUUUAAAACAACUGUGGAAACUAUACUUCAGUUUGUGAAGAGGAACAAUGAAUUUCAGAGAUGAAGCUAAAAUUCUCAAGAAAAGUGUUCACAGGAUAUUCUUUUGAAUGAUGGGGUUUUAAAUGAAAUGCAUUAUUUUCUGUUUUGUGUAGUCUCAGAAUGGUUUCAGGAUAUAAUUGAGCUUUAAAUAUAAAACAUUUUGAUCAAGCAAACCCAGUCCCAUUAGAGGGGACUGGCUCCCCUUUGCUAAUGGAAAGCUUUUCUCUGCAGCAGCAAAAGGAAUUUUUAUUAACUUCCCUUUCAUAUUACAUCCCUUGUCCAAAUAUACUCCAGUCUCUCUCACUUUGCCUGCAAUACAUGCAGGUCAUAAU